Molecule: ribosomal RNA, 253 nt
Filed under: uncultured bacterium
Lineage: Bacteria
Description: partial 16S ribosomal RNA
Rfam family: Bacterial small subunit ribosomal RNA
Source: RNAcentral
UACAGAGAGUGCAAGCGUUGUUCGGAAUUACUGGGCGUAAAGCGCGUGUAGGCGGUUGUUCAAGUCGGGUGUGAAAGCCUUGAGCUCAACUCAAGAAAUGCACUCGAUACUGGAUGACUUGAGGACCGGAGAGGAUAGUGGAAUUCCCAGUGUAGUGGUGAAAUACGUAGAGAUUGGGAAGAACACCAGUGGCGAAGGCGGCUAUCUGGACGGUUUCUGACGCUAAGACGCGAAAGCGUGGGGAGCAAACAGG